UCCCUGGUGGUCUAGUGGCUAGGAUUCAGUGCUUUCACCACUGUGGCCUAGGAUCGAUUCCUGGCCAGGGAA
This 72-nucleotide transfer RNA is filed under the name Dasypus novemcinctus (nine-banded armadillo). Its description in RNAcentral is "tRNA-Glu (TTC) (tRNA-Glu-TTC-13-1)". It matches the Rfam family "tRNA". Rfam says of the family: Transfer RNA (tRNA) molecules are approximately 80 nucleotides in length. Their secondary structure includes four short double-helical elements and three loops (D, anti-codon, and T loops). The record is from RNAcentral. Lineage: Eukaryota; Metazoa; Chordata; Mammalia; Cingulata; Dasypodidae.